AUUCAGUAUGUAAUGCUUACCCUGUUUACCCCAGGUAGUCUUUGGAAGAUUCAGUAUGUAAUGCUUACCCUGUUUACCCCAGGUAGUCUUUGGAAGAUUCAGUAUGUAAUUCUUACCCUGUUUACACCGGGUAGUCUUUGGAAGAUUCAGUAUGUAAUGCUUACCCUGUUUACCCCAGGUAGUCUUUGGAAGAUUCAGUAUGUAAUGCUUACCCUGUUUACCCCAGGUAGUCUUUGGAAGAUUCAGUAUGUAAUGCUUACCCUGUUUACCCCAGGUAGUCUUUGGAAGAUUCAGUAUGUAAUUCUUACCCUGUUUACCCCAGGUAGUC
Long non-coding RNA from Oncorhynchus keta (chum salmon), 328 nucleotides. RefSeq lists it as uncharacterized. The transcript is spliced from 3 exons. Lineage: Eukaryota; Metazoa; Chordata; Actinopteri; Salmoniformes; Salmonidae. The record is from RefSeq and is a predicted model, not a curated record.